This 497-nucleotide ribosomal RNA is filed under the name uncultured bacterium. RNAcentral's name for it is "partial 16S ribosomal RNA". It matches the Rfam family "Bacterial small subunit ribosomal RNA", at positions 28 to 507 of the family's 1533-position model. The record is from RNAcentral.
GAUGAACGCUGGCGGCGUGCCUAAUACAUGCAAGUCGAGCGAACGGACGAGAAGCUUGCUUCUCUGAUGUUAGCGGCGGACGGGUGAGUAACACGUGUAUAACCUACCUAUAAGACUGGGAUAACUUCGGGAAACCGGAGCUAAUACCGUAUAAUAUUUUGAACCGCAUGGGUCAAAGGUGAAAGACGGUCUUUCUGUCACUUAUAGAUGGAUCCGCGCUGCAUUAGCUAGUUGGUAAGGUAACGGCUUACCAAGGCAACGAUGCAUAGCCGACCUGAGAGGGUGAUAGGCCACCCUGGAACUGAGACACGGUCCAGACUCCUACGGGAGGCAGCAGUAGGGAAUCUUACGCAAUGGGCGAAAGCCUGACGGAGCAACGCCGCGUGAGUGAUGAAGGUCUUCGGAUCGUAAAACUCUGUUAUUAGGGAAGAACAUAUGUGUCAGUAAACGUGCACAUAUUGACGGUACCUAAUCAGAAAGCCACGGCUAACUACGUG